UAAGAUCGGGACUCAUGGCCGGCCACGGU
RNAcentral lists this small RNA (29 nucleotides) under Bombyx mori (domestic silkworm). RNAcentral describes it as "piRNA piR-bmo-2171963". The record is from RNAcentral. Lineage: Eukaryota; Metazoa; Arthropoda; Insecta; Lepidoptera; Bombycidae.